CGGAGGAGAAGUGAUGGCCGCUCCUCCCGGGAUCCGGGAGGAGAGGAAAGUCCGAGCUCCACAGGGCAGGGUGGUCCGUAACGCGGACUGCCCCCGAUUUCCGGAAGCGGAAUUCGGGGGCAAGGAAAGUGCCACAGAAAAGAUACCGCCCCGAUAUUCCACGGGGUAAGGGUGAAAAGGUGAGGUAAGAGCUCACCAGUAUCCCGAGUGAUCGGGGUAGCUUGGUAAACCCCACCCGGAGCAAGGCCAAAUAGGUCCCGCUCCCCAAGAGGGAAAGAGCUGCCCGUUCAAAUUUCUCCUGACAGGGAAAGGCGGGACGGGUAAGGCCGCUUGAGACCUUGAGCAAUCAGGGCCCUUAGAUAAAUGGCCAUCGUCCCGACCGGAGACGGCGGGAUACAGAACUCGGCUUACGGUCUCCUUCGACUU
RNAcentral lists this RNase P RNA (426 nucleotides) under Deltaproteobacteria bacterium RBG_13_52_11b. Its description in RNAcentral is "RNase P RNA component class A". It matches the Rfam family "Bacterial RNase P class A". Rfam says of the family: Ribonuclease P (RNase P) is a ubiquitous endoribonuclease, found in archaea, bacteria and eukarya as well as chloroplasts and mitochondria. Lineage: Bacteria; Deltaproteobacteria. The record is from RNAcentral.